UGCCAGCCGCCGCGGUAAUACGGAGGGUGCAAGCGUUAAUCGGAAUUACUGGGCGUAAAGCGCGCGUAGGUGGUCUGUUAAGUCGGAUGUGAAAGCCCCGGGCUCAACCUGGGAACUGCAUUCGAUACUGGCAGACUAGAGUGCGGGAGAGGGAGGUAGAAUUCCAUGUGUAGCGGUGAAAUGCGUAGAUAUGUGGAGGAAUACCAGUGGCGAAGGCGGCCUCCUGGCUCGACACUGACACUGAGGCGCGAAAGCGUGGGGAGCAAACAGGAUUAGAUA
This 279-nucleotide ribosomal RNA is filed under the name uncultured bacterium. RNAcentral describes it as "partial 16S ribosomal RNA". It matches the Rfam family "Bacterial small subunit ribosomal RNA", at positions 506 to 784 of the family's 1533-position model. The record is from RNAcentral.